UAAAACAUAUCGCUUAAUCUGUUAAACAGAGCGGGGGACCCAUUUCGGCGGCAUUUUGCCGCUUGGGGUGAAUCCUUUUUAGGUAGGGCUAACUCUCAUAGGCCCGAAUCCGACAGCUAACCUCGUAAGCGUUCAUGAGAGGAGAU
This 146-nucleotide small RNA is filed under the name Bacillus atrophaeus. Its description in RNAcentral is "c-di-AMP sequence". It matches the Rfam family "c-di-AMP riboswitch aptamer (ydaO/yuaA leader)". From Rfam's summary of the family: This family represents a conserved RNA structure found upstream of the ydaO and yuaA genes in Bacillus subtilis and related genes in other bacteria. The record is from RNAcentral. Lineage: Bacteria; Bacillati; Bacillota; Bacilli; Caryophanales; Bacillaceae.